GACGAACGCUGGCGGCGUGCUUAACACAUGCAAGUCGAGCGGUAAGGCCCUUUCGGGGGUACACGAGCGGCGAGCGGGUGAGUAACACGUGGGUGACCUGCCUUUAGCUCUGGGAUAAGCCUGGGAAACUGGGUCUAAUACCGGAUACGACUCCGCGGUGCAUGCUGUGGGGUGGAAAGCCUUGUGCGGCUGGAGAUGGGUCCGCGGCCUAUCAGCUUGUUGGUGGGGUGAUGGCCACCAAGGCGACGACGGGUAGCCGGCCUGAGAGGGCGACCGGCCACACUGGGACUGAGACACGGCCCAGACUCCUACGGGAGGCAGCAGUGGGGAAUCUUGCGCAAUGGGCGAAAGCCUGACGCAGCGACGCCGCGUGAGGGAUGACGGCCUCGGUGUAA
RNAcentral lists this ribosomal RNA (395 nucleotides) under uncultured bacterium. RNAcentral's name for it is "bacterial SSU rRNA". It matches the Rfam family "Bacterial small subunit ribosomal RNA", at positions 28 to 428 of the family's 1533-position model. The record is from RNAcentral.